Long non-coding RNA from Marmota flaviventris (yellow-bellied marmot), 291 nucleotides. RefSeq lists it as uncharacterized. The record is from RefSeq and is a predicted model, not a curated record. Lineage: Eukaryota; Metazoa; Chordata; Mammalia; Rodentia; Sciuridae.
CGCGCCUCUUCCCCAGACCCCCACCCCCGCAGGCAGAGGGUCGUCCUUCCUCUUGGUCAGCCAAGUGCCGGAUGACCUAAAACAAGCCCACAGAGUGCGCAGAACAGCUGGAAAUUCCACAGCAGGGCCGCCUGUCAAAGAGCAAGUCACUCCCCUUAACUCUGCGCCAAGCGGCCAAGCGAAAUCUGAGCUGCACAGGUUCUUGGAAACCCACACCUACCCCCUUUCUACUAGUUUUCCGCCUGGCACAAACACUGCCUUUCCUUUUAUUUAUUAAAUAGCCAAAGUUCA